UCUAAUUCGUUCGAGUCAUUU
This 21-nucleotide non-coding RNA is filed under the name Arabidopsis thaliana (thale cress). Lineage: Eukaryota; Viridiplantae; Streptophyta; Magnoliopsida; Brassicales; Brassicaceae. The record is from RNAcentral.